GGGUUCGGAGAUUUAUAAUUCCGAAGGGUUUUAUCAAAGAUGGUCGGGCCGCCAUCU
This 57-nucleotide non-coding RNA is filed under the name Candidatus Omnitrophota bacterium. RNAcentral's name for it is "Omnitrophica WOR Li+-I sequence". It matches the Rfam family "nhaA-I RNA". Rfam says of the family: Acidobacteria, Alphaproteobacteria, Betaproteobacteria and Gammaproteobacteria, Verrucomicrobia, cand. division NC10. Downstream gene Lineage: Bacteria; Pseudomonadati; Candidatus Omnitrophota. The record is from RNAcentral.